UACGGAGGGGGCGAGCGUUAUUCGGAAUUAUUGGGCGUAAAGGGCGCGUAGGCGGCCCGGUAAGUCAAAGGUGAAAUCCCUCGGCUCAACUGAGGAACUGCCUUUGAAACUGUCGGGCUUGAGGCCGGGAGGGGGUAGCGGAAUUCCCAGUGUAGCGGUGAAAUGCGUAGAUAUUGGGAGGAAUACCGGUGGCGAAGGCGGCAUCCUGGACCAUUACUGACGCUGAGGCGCGAAAGCUAGGGGAGCAAACGGG
This 253-nucleotide ribosomal RNA is filed under the name uncultured bacterium. Its description in RNAcentral is "partial 16S ribosomal RNA". It matches the Rfam family "Bacterial small subunit ribosomal RNA", at positions 524 to 776 of the family's 1533-position model. The record is from RNAcentral.